GACGAACGCUGGCGGCGUGCUUAACACAUGCCAGUCGAACGCUGAAGCUUGGUGCUUGCACUGGGUGGAUGAGUGGCGAACGGGUGAGUAAUACGUGAGUAACCUGCCCUUGACUCUGGGAUAAGCCUGGGAAACUGGGUCUAAUACUGGAUACGACAUGUCACCGCAUGGUGGUGUGUGGAAAGGGUUUUACUGGUUUUGGAUGGGCUCACGGCCUAUCAGCUUGUUGGUGGGGUAAUGGCUCACCAAGGCGACGACGGGUAGCCGGCCUGAGAGGGUGACCGGCCACACUGGGACUGAGACACGGCCCAGACUCCUACGGGAGGCAGCAGUGGGGAAUAUUGCACAAUGGGCGGAAGCCUGAUGCAGCGACGCCGCGUGAGGGAUGACGGCCUUCGGGUUGUAAACCUCUUUCAGCACGGAAGAAGCGAAGGUGACGGUACGUGCAGAAGAAGCGCCGGCUAACUACGUG
This 472-nucleotide ribosomal RNA is filed under the name uncultured bacterium. Its description in RNAcentral is "partial 16S ribosomal RNA". It matches the Rfam family "Bacterial small subunit ribosomal RNA", at positions 28 to 507 of the family's 1533-position model. The record is from RNAcentral.